Molecule: ribosomal RNA, 165 nt
Filed under: uncultured bacterium
Lineage: Bacteria
Description: partial 16S ribosomal RNA
Rfam family: Bacterial small subunit ribosomal RNA
Source: RNAcentral
UAGGGAAUCUUCCACAAUGGGCGGCAAGCCUGAUGGAGCAACACCGCGUGAGUGAAGAAGGGUUUCGGCUCGUAAAACACUGUUGUAAGAGAAGAAUGACAUUGAGAGUAACUGUUCAAUGUGUGACGGUAUCUUACCAGAAAGGAACGGCUAAAUACGUGUCAG